AUGGACGAAAGUCUGAUGGAGCAACGCCGCGUGAGUGAAGAAGGGUUUCGGCUCGUAAAACUCUGUUGUUAAAGAAGAACAUAUCUGAGAGUAACUGUUCAGGUAUUGACGGUAUUUAACCAGAAAGCCACGGCUAACUACGUGCCAGCAGCCGCGGUAAUACGUAGGUGGCAAGCGUUGUCCGGAUUUAUUGGGCGUAAAGCGAGCGCAGGCGGUUUUUUAAGUCUGAUGUGAAAGCCUUCGGCUCAACCGAAGAAGUGCAUCGGAAACUGGGGAACUUGAGUGCAGAAGAGGACAGUGGAACUCCAUGUGUAGCGGUGAAAUGCGUAGAUAUAUGGAAGAACACCAGUGGCGAAGGCGGCUGUCUGGUCUGUAACUGACGCUGAGGCUCGAAAGUAUGGGUAGCAAACAGGAUUAGAUACCCUGGUAGUCCAUACCGUAAACGAUGAAUGCUAAGUGUUGGAAGGUUUCCGCCCUUCAGUGCUGCAGCUAACGCAUUAAGCAUUCCGCCUGGGGAGUACGGCCGCAAGGCUGAAACUCAAAGGAAUUGACGGGGGCCCGCACAAGCGGUGGAGCAUGUGGUUUAAUUCGAAGCUACGC
This 600-nucleotide ribosomal RNA is filed under the name Lactiplantibacillus plantarum. RNAcentral's name for it is "bacterial SSU rRNA". It matches the Rfam family "Bacterial small subunit ribosomal RNA", at positions 371 to 962 of the family's 1533-position model. The record is from RNAcentral. Lineage: Bacteria; Bacillati; Bacillota; Bacilli; Lactobacillales; Lactobacillaceae.